Molecule: ribosomal RNA, 254 nt
Filed under: uncultured bacterium
Lineage: Bacteria
Description: partial 16S ribosomal RNA
Rfam family: Bacterial small subunit ribosomal RNA
Source: RNAcentral
UACGGGGGGGGGCAAGCGUUGUUCGGAAUUACUGGGCGUAAAGGGCUCGUAGGCGGCCAACUAAGUCAGACGUGAAAUCCCUCGGCUUAGCCGGGGAACUGCGUCUGAUACUGGAUGGCUUGAGAUUGGGAGAGGGAUGCGGAAUUCCAGGUGUAGCGGUGAAAUGCGUAGAUAUCAGGAGGAACACCUGUGGUGUAGACGGCUUACUGGACCAUGACUGACGCUGAGGCACGAAAGCGUGGGGAGCAAACAGG